AGGACGAACGCUGGCGGCGUGCUUAACACAUGCAAGUCGAGCGGAAAGGCCCUUCGGGGUACUCGAGCGGCGAACGGGUGAGUAACACGUGAGCAACCUGCCCUUGGCUCUGGGAUAGCCUCCGGAAACGGGGAUUAAUACCGGACAUCCACUUUCUCCUGCAUGGGUGAUGGUGGAAAGUUUUUCGGCCAGGGAGGGGCUCGCGGCCUAUCAGCUUGUUGGCGGGUAACGGCCCACCAAGGCGACGACGGGUA
RNAcentral lists this ribosomal RNA (254 nucleotides) under uncultured bacterium. RNAcentral's name for it is "partial small subunit ribosomal RNA". It matches the Rfam family "Bacterial small subunit ribosomal RNA", at positions 26 to 285 of the family's 1533-position model. The record is from RNAcentral.